RNAcentral lists this transfer RNA (69 nucleotides) under Sciurus stramineus (Guayaquil squirrel). RNAcentral's name for it is "Simosciurus stramineus (Guayaquil squirrel) tRNA-Asp". The record is from RNAcentral. Lineage: Eukaryota; Metazoa; Chordata; Mammalia; Rodentia; Sciuridae.
AAGAUAUUAGUAAAAACAUUACAUAACUUUGUCAAAGUUAAUUUAUAGGUCAAACUCCUUUAUAUCUUA